This 253-nucleotide ribosomal RNA is filed under the name uncultured bacterium. RNAcentral describes it as "partial 16S ribosomal RNA". It matches the Rfam family "Bacterial small subunit ribosomal RNA", at positions 524 to 776 of the family's 1533-position model. The record is from RNAcentral.
UACAGAGGGUGCGAGCGUUGUUCGGAAUUAUUGGGCGUAAAGGGCGCGUAGGCGGCGCCACAAGUCACUUGUGAAAACUCUGGGCUCAACUCAGAGCCUGCAAGCGAAACUGUGGUGCUGGAGUAUGGGAGAGGUGCGUGGAAUUCCCGGUGUAGCGGUGAAAUGCGCAGAUAUCAGGAGGAACACCGGUGGCGAAGGCGGGUCUCUGGGCCGAUAUCGACGCUGAGGAGCGAAAGCGUGGGGAGCGAACAGG